CCUACGGGUGGCAGCAGUGAGGAAUAUUGGUCAAUGGACGAAAGUCUGAACCAGCCAUGCCGCGUGAAGGAUGACUGCUCUAUGGGUUGUAAACUGCUUUUAUACAGGAAUAAAGUUCAGUACGUAUAUUCAUCUGUACGUACUAUACGAAUAAGGAUCGGCUAACUCCGUGCCAGCAGCCGCGGUAAUACGGAGGAUCCGAGCGUUAUCCGGAUUUAUUGGGUUUAAAGGGUGCGUAGGCGGAAGGAUAAGUUAGAGGUGAAAGGUCGCGGCUAAACCGGUGAACUGCCGUUGAUACUGUUGAUCUUGAGUGCAGGAGAGGUAGGCGGAAUGCAUGGUGUAGCGGUGAAAUGCGUAGAGAUCACGCAGAACACCGAUUGCGAAGGCAGCUUACUGAACUGUAACUGACGUUGAGGCACGAAAGUGUGGGGAGCAAACAGGAUUAGAUACCCCUGUAGUC
This 460-nucleotide ribosomal RNA is filed under the name uncultured bacterium. RNAcentral's name for it is "partial 16S ribosomal RNA". It matches the Rfam family "Bacterial small subunit ribosomal RNA", at positions 338 to 795 of the family's 1533-position model. The record is from RNAcentral.